RNAcentral lists this ribosomal RNA (1220 nucleotides) under Postharmostomum commutatum. RNAcentral describes it as "LSU rRNA". It matches the Rfam family "Eukaryotic large subunit ribosomal RNA", at positions 108 to 907 of the family's 3401-position model. Lineage: Eukaryota; Metazoa; Platyhelminthes; Trematoda; Diplostomida; Brachylaimidae. The record is from RNAcentral.
CCCAGCACCGAAGCCUGUGACCCUUUGGUUACUAGGCAAUGUGGUGUUUAGGUUGUCUUUUGGCACUGUUGCUCCAUCCUAAGUCCAGCAAUGAGUACGGCAUUCUGGAAUGGCCCGCAGAGGGUGAAAGGCCCGUGGGGGUGGAGAUCAAAUGGCCAAUGGUGCCCGAAGUAAACCUUGGAGUCGGGUUGUUUGUGAAUGCAGCCCAAAUUGGGUGGUAAACUCCAUCUAAGGCUAAAUACUAGCACGAGUCCGAUAGCGAACAAGUACCGUGAGGGAAAGUUGAAAAGUACUUUGAAGAGAGAGUAAACAGUGCGUGAAACCGCUCAAAGGUAAACGGGUGGAGUUGAACUGUAAGCCAUUGGAAUUCAACUGGUGGGUUUGACAUGAGCUUGGGCAUAUAUGGUCGGUUUCUAAAGUCUGCUUAGCUGCGGGCUUUCGUCCUUUAUUGGGCGAGGGUGUGCGAUGCACUCAUCAAGUGCUGUGCGCUUUAGAAGCUGUAAGCCUGCCUGCCAGUGCACUUUCCUUUGGUGAGCACCACGACCGGCGCGUUGUCUGUCUAAUUUGGUUAAACCGGCCUUACGCGGUCCUUGUGGCCGUGCUGGGUCGGGAUGGCAGGUAAUUCAUUGAUCAUCUGUUAGUUUCGGCUAUCAGUGGUCAAUGAGUGUUACAAGCUGACCAUUUUAGGCCAGUGCACUGCGCCGGAGAUGACGGCUUUGUGUGAGCAUUUGUGCUUGCUUGCUGGCUUAACUGGGUCAGAUUGGUCUGUUUACUCGCUUUGGCGAAUCAGCCAAUGGCUCAGUUUUGUUCAGUGGGCGGUUGCAAAUGUGACACAUUUAUAGGCCUAUAGUCUGUGGUGUUGCGGUAGACUAUCCACCUGACCCGUCUUGAAACACGGACCAAGGAGUUUAACAUGUACGCGAGUCAUUGGGCGUUACGAAACCCAAAGGCGAAGUGAAAGUAAAGGUUCGGUUUAACCGAGCUAAGGUGAGAUCCUAUCGUUUCUCGUGCCUGGUACCACCAAGUAUUUGAGCGGUAGGCGCAUCACCAGCCCGUCUCAUGAUGUAGUCAUACGGCUUUACUGUUGUAUGCAGCAUCGGGGCGGAGCCUGAGCGUACACGUUGAGACCCGAAAGAUGGUGAACUAUGCUUGCGCAGGUUGAAGCCAGAGGAAACUCUGGUGGAGGACCGUAGCGAUUCUGACGUGCAAAUCGAUCGUCA